This 253-nucleotide ribosomal RNA is filed under the name uncultured bacterium. RNAcentral's name for it is "partial 16S ribosomal RNA". It matches the Rfam family "Bacterial small subunit ribosomal RNA", at positions 524 to 776 of the family's 1533-position model. The record is from RNAcentral.
UACGUAGGGUGCGAGCGUUGUCCGGAAUUAUUGGGCGUAAAGAGCUCGUAGGCGGUUUGUCGCGUCUGCUGUGAAAACCUAAGGCUCAACCUUGGGCUUGCAGUGGGUACGGGCAGACUAGAGUGCGGUAGGGGUGACUGGAAUUCCUGGUGUAGCGGUGGAAUGCGCAGAUAUCAGGAGGAACACCGAUGGCGAAGGCAGGUCACUGGGCCGCAACUGACGCUGAGGAGCGAAAGCAUGGGGAGCGAACAGG